This 218-nucleotide ribosomal RNA is filed under the name uncultured bacterium. RNAcentral describes it as "partial 16S ribosomal RNA". It matches the Rfam family "Bacterial small subunit ribosomal RNA", at positions 1283 to 1500 of the family's 1533-position model. The record is from RNAcentral.
ACGUCUCAGUUCGGAUUGUAGUCUGCAACUCGACUACAUGAAGCUGGAAUCGCUAGUAAUCGCGAAUCAGAAUGUCGCGGUGAAUACGUUCCCGGGUCUUGUACACACCGCCCGUCACACCAUGGGAGUCGGAUAUGCCCGAAGUCAGUGGCCCAACCGUAAGGGGGGAGCUGCCGAAGGCAGAUCCGAUGACUGGGGUGAAGUCGUAACAAGGUAGC